Molecule: ribosomal RNA, 452 nt
Filed under: uncultured bacterium
Lineage: Bacteria
Description: partial 16S ribosomal RNA
Rfam family: Bacterial small subunit ribosomal RNA
Source: RNAcentral
AACGAACGCUGGCGGCAGGCCUAAUACAUGCAAGUCGAGCGCUCUAGCAAUAGGGAGCGGCGCAUGGGUGCGUAACGCGUGGGAAUAUGCCUUUAGGUACGGAACAACCAAGGGAAACUUUGGCUAAUACCGUAUAAUAUCUUCGGAUCAAAGAUUCAUCGCCUAAAGAUUAGCCCGCGUCUGAUUGGCUAGUUGGUGGGGUAAAGGCCUACCAAGGCGACGAUCAGUAGCUGGUCUGAGAGGAUGAUCAGCCACACUGGAACCGAGACACGGCCCAGACUCCUACGGGAGGCAGCAGUGGGGAAUUUUGGACAAUGGGCGCAAGCCUGAUCCAGCAAUGCCGCGUGCAGGAAGAAGGCCUUCGGGUUGUAAAGCUCUGUUCUUAGGGAAUAAAAAAAUGAAGGUACCUAAGGAGAAAGGACCGGCUAACUUCGUGCCAGCCGCCGCAGUAA